UUGGCUUGGAAACGCGGAAGUAGUGAACCGCGGCUUGUGAUUGGUCAGAAUCAGGCAGGUCUCGACUCCGUUUGUAUGCGCGAUCAAGUUGGGUUGAGAUAUAAAGUACGCAGCUGUAUAGGACACCCUGUACAUGUGCACGUCCACAACACGUGUUUUUACAGGAUCGCUCUGGAUCCUGGUCCUUUCCCCGGGAACACUGGGCACGGGGCAGGAGAACUCACCCUGCACACACACACACACUCUUCUAGGGGCAAUGUAGCAUAACCAAAUCCAGGUAUGUCACUUCUGUGGGAGGAAACCAGAGAACCUGAAGGAAACCCAAUACCAGGAGCACAUGUGAAACUCCACACAGACCCGGGAUCGAGCCGGAGGAAGCCGGAGCUGUGAGGCAAAAAUGCCGCUCACUGCAAAAAUACGUACGAACAUAUUCGUUUAUUUCGUGCCAUUAUAGCUGGAUGUUCCACUCGUCCAGAUGUAGACUGGUUUCUUAUUCACAUCACUUUCUGAUUUUUCUUUUAAAAUUGCAGUUAGAUUAAAGUGAACAUUGUUUAA
This is a long non-coding RNA of Pangasianodon hypophthalmus (striped catfish), 555 nucleotides long. RefSeq lists it as uncharacterized. The transcript is spliced from 2 exons. The record is from RefSeq and is a predicted model, not a curated record. NCBI's taxonomy places the organism in Eukaryota, Metazoa, Chordata, Actinopteri, Siluriformes, Pangasiidae.